This 496-nucleotide ribosomal RNA is filed under the name uncultured bacterium. RNAcentral's name for it is "partial 16S ribosomal RNA". It matches the Rfam family "Bacterial small subunit ribosomal RNA", at positions 29 to 507 of the family's 1533-position model. The record is from RNAcentral.
AUGAACGCUGGCGGCGUGCCUAAUACAUGCAAGUCGAGCGAACGGACGAGAAGCUUGCUUCUCUGAUGUUAGCGGCGGACGGGUGAGUAACACGUGGAUAACCUACCUAUAAGACUGGGAUAACUUCGGGAAACCGGAGCUAAUACCGGAUAAUAUUUUGAACCGCAUGGUUCAAAAGUGAAAGACGGUCUUGCUGUCACUUAUAGAUGGAUCCGCGCUGCAUUAGCUAGUUGGUAAGGUAACGGCUUACCAAGGCAACGAUGCAUAGCCGACCUGAGAGGGUGAUCGUCCACACUGGAACUGAGACACGGUCCAGACUCCUACGGGAGGCAGCAGUAGGGAAUCUUCCGCAAUGGGCGAAAGCCUGACGGAGCAACGCCGCGUGAGUGAUGAAGGUCUUCGGAUCGUAAAACUCUGUUAUUAGGGAAGAACAUAUGUGUAAGUAACUGUGCACAUCUUGACGGUACCUAAUCAGAAAGCCACGGCUAACUACGUG